RNAcentral lists this ribosomal RNA (448 nucleotides) under uncultured bacterium. RNAcentral's name for it is "bacterial SSU rRNA". It matches the Rfam family "Bacterial small subunit ribosomal RNA", at positions 330 to 794 of the family's 1533-position model. The record is from RNAcentral.
CCCAGACUCCUACGGGAGGCAGCAGUGGGGGAUAUUGCACAAUGGGGGGAACCCUGAUGCAGCGACGCCGCGUGGGUGAAGGAGUGCUUCGGCAUGUAAAGCCCUAUCGGCAGGGAAGAAGCAAGACGGUACCUGACUAAGAAGCCCCGGCUAACUACGUGCCAGCAGCCGCGGUAAUACGUAGGGGGCAAGCGUUAUCCGGAUUUACUGGGUGUAAAGGGAGCGUAGACGGCGAUGCAAGCCAGAUGUGAAAGCCCGGGGCUCAACCCCGGGACUGCAUUUGGAACUGUGUGGCUGGAGUGUCGGAGAGGCAGGCGGAAUUCCUAGUGUAGCGGUGAAAUGCGUAGAUAUUAGGAGGAACACCAGUGGCGAAGGCGGCCUGCUGGACGAUGACUGACGUUGAGGCUCGAAAGCGUGGGGAGCAAACAGGAUUAGAUACCCUGGUACC